RNAcentral lists this ribosomal RNA (411 nucleotides) under Escherichia coli. RNAcentral describes it as "bacterial LSU rRNA". It matches the Rfam family "Bacterial large subunit ribosomal RNA", at positions 672 to 1082 of the family's 2925-position model. Lineage: Bacteria; Pseudomonadati; Pseudomonadota; Gammaproteobacteria; Enterobacterales; Enterobacteriaceae. The record is from RNAcentral.
GGAAACCGNAUUAACUGGGCGUUAAGUUGCAGGGUAUAGANCCGAAACCCGGUGAUCUAGCCAUGGGCAGGUUGAAGGUUGGGUAACACUAACUGGAGGACCGAACCGACUAAUGUUGAAAAAUUAGCGGAUGACUUGUGGCUGGGGGUGAAAGGCCAAUCAAACCGGGAGAUAGCUGGUUCUCCCCGAAAGCUAUUUAGGUAGCGCCUCGUGAACUCAUCUCCGGGGGUAGAGCACUGUUUCGGCAAGGGGGUCAUCCCGACUUACCAACCCGAUGCAAACUGCGAAUACCGGAGAAUGUUAUCACGGGAGACACACGGCGGGUGCUAACGUCCGUCGUGAAGAGGGAAACAACCCAGACCGCCAGCUAAGGUCCCAAAGUCAUGGUUAAGUGGGAAACGAUGUGGGAAG